AUGAACGCUGGCGGCGUGCCUAAUACAUGCAAGUCGAGCGAACAGACGAGGAGCUUGCUCCUCUGACGUUAGCGGCGGACGGGUGAGUAACACGUGGAUAACCUACCUAUAAGACUGGGAUAACUUCGGGAAACCGGAGCUAAUACCGGAUAAUAUAUUGAACCGCAUGGUUCAAUAGUGAAAGACGGUUUUGCUGCCACUUAUAGAUGGAUCCGCCCCGCAUUAGCUAGUUGGUAAGGUAACGGCUUACCAAGGCGACGAUGCGUAGCCGACCUGAGAGGGUGAUCGGCCACACUGGAACUGAGACACGGUCCAGACUCCUACGGGAGGCAGCAGUAGGGAAUCUUCCGCAAUGGGCGAAAGCCUGACGGAGCAACGCCGCGUGAGUGAUGAAGGUCUUCGGAUCGUAAAACUCUGUUAUUAGGGAGGAACAAAUGUGUAAGUAACUAUGCACGUCUUGACGGUACCUAAUCAGAAAGCCACGGCUAACUACGUG
RNAcentral lists this ribosomal RNA (496 nucleotides) under uncultured bacterium. RNAcentral describes it as "partial 16S ribosomal RNA". It matches the Rfam family "Bacterial small subunit ribosomal RNA", at positions 29 to 507 of the family's 1533-position model. The record is from RNAcentral.